AGAGUUGAUCCUGGCUAGGACGAACGCUGGCGGCGUGCCUAACACAUGCAAGUCGAGCGAGGAGAUCCUUCGGGAUGAUCCUAGCGGCGGACGGGUGAGUAACACGUGGGCAACCUGCCUCAUAGAGAGGAAUAGCCUUCCGAAAGGGAGAUUAAUACCUCAUAACAUUGCAGUUUCGCAUGAAACAGCAAUUAAAGGAGCAAUCCGCUAUGAGAUGGGCCCGCGGCGCAUUAGCUAGUUGGUGAGGUAACGGCUCACCAAGGCGACGAUGCGUAGCCGACCUGAGAGGGUGAUCGGCCACAUUGGGACUGAGACACGGCCCAGACUCCUACGGGAGGCAGCAGUGGGGAAUAUUGCACAAUGGGGGAAACCCUGAUGCAAGCAACGCCGCGUGAGUGAUGACGGCCUUCGGGUUGUAAAGCUCUGUCUUCAGGGACGAUAAUGACGGUACCUGAGGAGGAAGCCACGGCUAACUACGUGCCAGCCGCAGC
RNAcentral lists this ribosomal RNA (491 nucleotides) under uncultured bacterium. Its description in RNAcentral is "bacterial SSU rRNA". It matches the Rfam family "Bacterial small subunit ribosomal RNA", at positions 9 to 518 of the family's 1533-position model. The record is from RNAcentral.